CUUUUAGCGAUAUGAUCAGAAGUCUAGGAGUUGCAUCUAGUUCUUAGAGAAGUCAGUGACCAUGCAAGUGAACCUUGUGUCAGACAGGUUCAGCUAGGCUAUGUUAUGUAACAGUGCCCAAAUCUCAACGGCUUAAAAUCACAAAAGCUUCUCUCUCACACUGCAUGUCUACGAUAGUCUGGCAGAGGGCUCUCAUCAUAAGUUAUUCAGGAAUCCAAGCCAUGGAGCUCCACCAUUUGAGAUCCUACCGUGUCACCAUGAGGAUUAGAGCGCCCCCGUCCCAUCCCCUGUGAAACUCUACUGAAGCUCACCCUUGCUGGAUUUCAUGAAGAAAACUGCCAUACGGAGAUGUCCACAUGCCAAGGAACUGAGGAUGGCCUCUGGCAGACAGCCCAUGAGCACAAGGAAUUGAAUCCUGCCAACAAUGAUAUUAGCUUGCAAAUAUAUCCUUCCCCAGUUAAGCCUCAAAUGAGACUCCAGUCCUGGCUGACACCUUGAUUGCAGCCUUGUAAGACCCUGAAGCAGAGAAUCCAGAUAAGCCAUACCCAGAUUCCUGAUACACAGAAAAUGAAAUAAUAAAUGUGUGUUGUUUUAAGCUGCUAA
RNAcentral lists this long non-coding RNA (603 nucleotides) under Equus caballus (horse). RNAcentral describes it as "lncRNA (ENSECAG00000057125.1)". Lineage: Eukaryota; Metazoa; Chordata; Mammalia; Perissodactyla; Equidae. The record is from RNAcentral.